Sus scrofa (pig) is the source of this 73-nucleotide transfer RNA. It matches the Rfam family "tRNA". From Rfam's summary of the family: Transfer RNA (tRNA) molecules are approximately 80 nucleotides in length. The record is from Rfam. Lineage: Eukaryota; Metazoa; Chordata; Mammalia; Artiodactyla; Suidae.
UCCCUGGUGGCCUAGCAGUUAAGGAUCUGGCAUUGUCACUGCCAUGAUGCAAGUUCGAUCCCUGCUCUGGGAA